ACUUUACGGCACGCCAGGCUGUUUAGUGCGUUCUCAUCUGCGCACUACGGUAGUGAGGGCCGCUUUCCACCUCCUACGUUAGGCGUUGUUUACGUUUUGUUAAUCAUUGUGACAGUCUGUUGAAACUGUGGUAUAUUUAACCCGACUAGAAACAGUAUCCCAGGGUGAGACGGCGCUGAUGAAACACAAGGGGGAGUACAUGCUGCUAUGGAAGCCUGAGUGUUUGUCAUUAUUUGAGACUUCUGGGAAUAAAAAGAGCGUGUCAAGCUGCAAAGUAGUUACGAAUUUUAUAAAGAAAAGGGGCAUUAUAUCUGUCAGUCAUGGAGAAGAAAUACCCAUUUUCUGAAAGCCGUAAGCGGUCACUGGGAAGAUCUGAAAGACUGGAGGCUAAACGUAGGCACUUUCAUAUAAAUGACGCAGCAAGUGAAUCGGAUAAGGAUUCUGGCUUCUCAGACAAAAGAUUGUAGAGGACCUAAAACAUACAGAUGAGGAAGAAAUUGAAGGUGAAGAAAUGGAAAAGUGUUCUACGCUGUCUUAUGCAGAAACUUUUCAAGCUCUCGAAAUGGCAUUUACUUGGCUUGAGAGGCAGGAAUAAUUUGAUCCAAGACAGCUGC
This is a long non-coding RNA of Protopterus annectens (West African lungfish), 614 nucleotides long. RefSeq lists it as uncharacterized. The transcript has 3 exons. The record is from RefSeq and is a predicted model, not a curated record. NCBI's taxonomy places the organism in Eukaryota, Metazoa, Chordata, Ceratodontiformes, Protopteridae.